AACUUUGAUGAGACACUUGUUAUCCUAUAUAUGUAGUUCAAUUUUGAUUCGAUGCUAUAAUCCAGCCUCCCUAAGUAGGAAAAAAAAAAAAAAAAAUUGACUCCCCUGGUAGAUAUAAAGCUAGUUUGUCUACUAUGAAUGGAGCAAUCCUGGUACGUCCAUCCUCACAAGUCUAUGUGUUACAUUGGGAUUACAAACAAGAACGAUAAAGACCCUGACGUUCUGAUCCCAGGAAUGAGAUGCAGAUCAUGUUGAAUGAGGACAAGGCCUCUCACAAGAAUCCCAUUCACAAAAACAUUAAAGAAUUGAGAAGAUUCCCAAUAUAUCAUAAUGUAUUGCCAAUAGUACUUGGAGUAAGGUAUCUUAAAUCUAUGUUGAAGAGAUUCUCAAAAAAAAAAAAUCUAUGUUGAAGUGAAAAGCCGUAUAUAUUACUUAGUAUAUAAUAACCAAAGAGAGAGACCAUUCCCUACACAACUUGCUCAUUCCUUUUUAGCUAUUGAGAAAAAGAGAGAGAGAGAGAGAGAGAGUGGGGAAAUAUAGAACAGGGUGGUGAGGAGUAUAAUUAAGGAGCUCCUUUUAGUCCAAUAGUGAAGGCUGAGGAGUGGCUAGAGCUGCCAUCUCAUGCGUUAGGCUACCCUCAAAUGUUUUCUCAAGACUCAGCUAGGUGGAGAAAGAUGAACACACAGAAAUCAAAACGUUUAGUGUUGGCCUUUUGCAUGGUGUGGGAGCAACUCCUUCCGCGUGCUUAGCCUGCCCAUUGGACUGAAGGGAGCUCCCUAUUCAAUCACAUUUGCAUCAUAUAUAUUCGAAUUUUGCAUUAUUAAAUAUUAUGCCAAUUAUUUUCCUGGUUUAUUAGUAGUAGAUCGAUCAAAUUAAUACCAAUAUAAGGGUUGGAAUUGUGGUUAGUCUUAUCCUAUUCUUGGUUUUACUUGCAUAUUAUUUCAAAGUUUUGUGCUUUGACAGGGUAGGAUAUAAAGGAGAGUUGAUGAUGCCAGUACCGUAGGGACAGUUGAGGCCACAAGAACUGAAGUACAAGAUGCUUUAAGAAGCUCAAGAACUGCAAGUCUUCCCACCAUUUUUUAAUGGUGAAGUAAACAAUAACAGCUAGCCUUAACCCCAAGUGUCAAAGAUAUUGGAGUGAGAGAGACCACUCUCCCAACGCUGCUUCCUAGUUCCUACACUUUUUAACUGUGAGGGAUUAUGAUAAAGUUUCUUCAUUCUUGUUUUGUUUUUAGCUUUUUUUUCUCCACUUUUGCCUUUGUUCUGAUGGGUUUUCUUCUUUUGGUGGUGGAGAACGGAGCAAUACAACUCUGAUAGACUUCAAAUGUAAGAGAAACAACGAUAUUGUGAUCCACUUCAACAGUAUCCGUUAGCACCAUUGUAUUUUUCACUCACCGAAGAGGCAAAGCAAGAUGCAAGUAAUGCAAGAAGCUGUGAGAAAUGACGAAGCAUACAUAGCGGACAUAGGAAGAAACUACCAAAAAGAGAGGACUAAACUUAUAGAAGAACAGAACCGAUGGUGCUGAUGCCGGUUCAGUGUUAAAAUCAGCGAAAUUGGGAUACAAAUUUGUAUUGUGCAAAGGGUAUGCUUUAAAUCUAAUCAGCCCACAUCAAAAUUUCUCAGUGCAAUCACACUAGGCCAUUGAAAAUAUCACUAUUGAAAUUAUAUCUGUCAUAAACUCUUUUGCAGGGUGGAGUGUUAAUCACACCAUACCUUUAAAGAAGCUAAUUUUUUUGUCCACAAUAUAGCUAAAUGGCCUUUUUUGUGUAACUAUGAGGGAUCCCUACUCUUGUUUUUUCCCCCAAGAGAGAUGGAGCCAAGUCCCUCCUUUCAUAAUAUCCUUUUGUAUUCUAAUA
This is a long non-coding RNA of Quercus robur (English oak), 1857 nucleotides long. RefSeq lists it as uncharacterized. NCBI's taxonomy places the organism in Eukaryota, Viridiplantae, Streptophyta, Magnoliopsida, Fagales, Fagaceae. The transcript is spliced from 2 exons. The record is from RefSeq and is a predicted model, not a curated record.